RNAcentral lists this long non-coding RNA (325 nucleotides) under Brachypodium distachyon (stiff brome). Its description in RNAcentral is "long non-coding RNA (BDIS_LNC002540)". Lineage: Eukaryota; Viridiplantae; Streptophyta; Magnoliopsida; Poales; Poaceae. The record is from RNAcentral.
GUCCUAGCUUUUUUUUUUGUUUGUUUUUGAGGAAAGUACGCGUCCUAGCUUAGAUAGUGAAGUGUUGGAGGUAGAUGGAUCUAUUUACUAUCUCACGCACCAGCUGACGUGAUAAUAUGCCACGACGAAUUCAACUAGCUAGAAAGUGCGUCUUCUCCGACCCUAGAGAAGAACUACAAAGUGCACGAGUUUAUCUCAAUUGUAUACUACCGGCAUAUGGGAUAAUCUGAUACGUACAUAUAUUAAAGCCUUUUUCUUGCAUGUGACCCGUCCAUUACAGAAUUGAGAUUGCUAGAGUCCAGAUUCCAGAAUAGCAUUUCCGCAG